GUCAGGCAUUAUCCUGGAGAAAAUAGCCAAAGGCAUGGCGUCCUGAGCCAUCAGACGUGAUCCAGAGCAUGGCCUUGGUCACGCCUUUGCUGGGCGGGGCCGGGCCAUCGCCGAAAAACAGAAUGGCCCGAGUGCACAGGAAUGGACCUUCGGUCCUGCACAAGUUCCUCCUCUCCUGCUGCUGACCACGCCUCGCUUCCUCCCUCCUCUCCCUCAGGACCUCUGCACCCCCCUCUACUCACCACACCACAACUCAAAGUGUGGUCCUUGCAUGGUCACUUGGAUGGUAAGGGCAUUUACACAACAAUUUUAUGAACAAACAGGUUAGCAGAGCACAUCGUUGCAUUCCUGAACGAGAGCUGAAGUUAGCAUCUUCCUCUGAGACCCCAAGUGGUGUCUCUCUAAUGACAAGGGAAUAUUCUUGCACAUGUGCAGAUGUCGGGCAGUGGGCGGCAAGAGAAGGGACAGAGCUGCUUACAUCUGUUUCUUUUGUAACCAAGAGCGAAACUGUGGUGCUCAGGCAGCCCAGCAGGGCCAAUCGGCACAAUGCCCAAACACACCGACAACUUUUGCCUUGGCCUCCUCUUGGCUCUCCCUGCAGCAAACCUGUGAACACAGGGCCAGAGCCAGGCUCUGGAUGGAAGGACUCAAAGGUGUCCUGCCUUUCUGUUGCUUCCAUCUGCACCAUCACUGGAAAAAUCCUUCUACGUCCAUGCCUGUCCUUCGACGUAUACAAGCAGGUUUUGAUUUCACACGUGGAGUUUUCUAGUGGAACAUUACGUUGAGUUACAUGUCAUCAGUCAUACACCACCAAGCCACCCUCCGGUAACUCACUGGGACAUGGAGCAAGUGUCCUUGGCUGCAACAGUUACAGAGCAUGGGGUGGACCCCAGGACGUCACUGCCACCUUCUGUGGACACCUCUGCUGACCUUCCCUACCCUUGUUCAUCCAUGCUCCCCUGCCUUCCUUCCAACACCUGUUUUUUUCUCCCUUGAGAAGGAGGAAGGCAGGUGGGGGUCUUGCGGCAGAUCUUGGCCCCAGCCUUGCUUCGUCUCUUUACAGUGGAUCUUCAAGCUACAUACUUCUCUAAGCUCGGGUUACUCCUCUAAAAAUGGGCACAAUAGUACUUGCCUGCUGAAGUGAUCCAGAAACUUGCUGAGUUUUUCCUUCAAAUAAAUAAACAAGUAAAACCAAC
Molecule: long non-coding RNA, 1196 nt
Filed under: Heterocephalus glaber (naked mole-rat)
Lineage: Eukaryota; Metazoa; Chordata; Mammalia; Rodentia; Bathyergidae
Description: lncRNA (ENSHGLG00100041250.1)
Source: RNAcentral